GCUAUACAUGCAGUCGAGCGAACAGAUAAGGAGCUUGCUCCUUUGACGUUAGCGGCGGACGGGUGAGUAACACGUGGGUAACCUACCUAUAAGACUGGGAUAACUUCGGGAAACCGGAGCUAAUACCGGAUAAUAUUUCGAACCGCAUGGUUCGAUAGUGAAAGAUGGUUUUGCUAUCACUUAUAGAUGGACCCGCGCCGUAUUAGCUAGUUGGUAAGGUAACGGCUUACCAAGGCGACGAUACGUAGCCGACCUGAGAGGGUGAUCGGCCACACUGGAACUGAGACACGGUCCAGACUCCUACGGGAGGCAGCAGUAGGGAAUCUUCCGCAAUGGGCGAAAGCCUGACGGAGCAACGCCGCGUGAGUGAUGAAGGUCUUCGGAUCGUAAAACUCUGUUAUUAGGGAAGAACAUACGUGUAAGUAACUGUGCACGUCUUGACGGUACCUAAUCAGAAAGCCACGGCUAACUACGUGCCAGCAGCCGCGGUAAUACGUAGGUGGCAAGCGUUAUCCGGAAUUAUUGGGCGUAAAGCGCGCGUAGGCGGUUUUUUAAGUCUGAUGUGAAAGCCCACGGCUCAACCGUGGAGGGUCAUUGGAAACUGGAAAACUUGAGUGCAGAAGAGGAAAGUGGAAUUCCAUGUGUAGCGGUGAAAUGCGCAGAGAUAUGGAGGAACACCAGUGGCGAAGGCGACUUUCUGGUCUGUAACUGACGCUGAUGUGCGAAAGCGUGGGGAUCAAACAGGAUUAGAUACCCUGGUAGUCCACGCCGUAAACGAUGAGUGCUAAGUGUUAGGGGGUUUCCGCCCCUUAGUGCUGCAGCUAACGCAUUAAGCACUCCGCCU
RNAcentral lists this ribosomal RNA (844 nucleotides) under Staphylococcus sp. H70-CRBM-T2P21. RNAcentral describes it as "bacterial SSU rRNA". It matches the Rfam family "Bacterial small subunit ribosomal RNA", at positions 48 to 874 of the family's 1533-position model. Lineage: Bacteria; Bacillati; Bacillota; Bacilli; Caryophanales; Staphylococcaceae. The record is from RNAcentral.